UACGGAGGGUGCAAGCGUUAAUCGGAAUUACUGGGCGUAAAGCGCACGCAGGUGGCUGAGUCAGUCGAUUGUGAAAGCCCUGGGCUUAACCUGGGAAUUGCAGUCGAUACUACUCAGCUAGAGUAUGGGAGAGGGUAGUGGAAUUCCCGGUGUAGCGGUGAAAUGCGCAGAUAUCAGGAGGAACACCGGUGGCGAAGGCAGAUCACUAAACCAUUAUUGACGCUGAGGCUCGAAAGCGUGGGGAUCAAACAGG
This 253-nucleotide ribosomal RNA is filed under the name uncultured bacterium. RNAcentral's name for it is "partial 16S ribosomal RNA". It matches the Rfam family "Bacterial small subunit ribosomal RNA", at positions 524 to 776 of the family's 1533-position model. The record is from RNAcentral.